UAGGGUGACCUGGGAUAGGAUCAUUA
RNAcentral lists this ribosomal RNA (26 nucleotides) under Trichophyton rubrum. RNAcentral describes it as "partial 18S ribosomal RNA". Lineage: Eukaryota; Fungi; Ascomycota; Eurotiomycetes; Onygenales; Arthrodermataceae. The record is from RNAcentral.